AUUGAACGCUGGCGGAAUGCUUUACACAUGCAAGUCGAACGGCAGCACGGACUUCGGUCUGGUGGCGAGUGGCGAACGGGUGAGUAACAUAUCGGAACGUAUCCAAUAAUGGGGGAUAACGAGUCGAAAGAUUCGCUAAUACCGCAUACGCCCUACGGGGGAAAGCUAGGGACCUUCGGGCCUGGCGUUGAUGGAGCGGCCGAUAUCUGAUUAGCUAGUUGGUGAGGUAAAGGCUCACCAAGGCGACGAUCAGUAGCUGGUCUGAGAGGACGACCAGCCACACUGGAACUGAGACACGGUCCAGACUCCUACGGGAGGCAGCAGUGGGGAAUUUUGGACAAUGGGCGCAAGCCUGAUCCAGCCAUUCCGCGUGAGCGAAGAAGGCCUUCGGGUUGUAAAGCUCUUUCGCAAGGGAAGAAAACUUAUCCUCUAACAUAGGAUGAGGUUGACGGUACCUUGAUAAGAAGCACCGGCUAACUACGUGCCAGCCGCCGCCGUAA
RNAcentral lists this ribosomal RNA (500 nucleotides) under uncultured bacterium. Its description in RNAcentral is "partial 16S ribosomal RNA". It matches the Rfam family "Bacterial small subunit ribosomal RNA", at positions 30 to 523 of the family's 1533-position model. The record is from RNAcentral.